This 371-nucleotide ribosomal RNA is filed under the name uncultured organism. RNAcentral describes it as "partial 16S ribosomal RNA". It matches the Rfam family "Bacterial small subunit ribosomal RNA", at positions 527 to 896 of the family's 1533-position model. The record is from RNAcentral.
GUAGGGUCCAAGCGUUAAUCGGAAUUACUGGGCGUAAAGCGUGCGCAGGCGGUUGUGCAAGACCGAUGUGAAAUCCCCGGGCUUAACCUGGGAAUUGCAUUGGUGACUGCACGGCUAGAGUGUGUCAGAGGGGGGUAGAAUUCCACGUGUGGCAGUGAAAUGCGUAGAGAUGUGGAGGAAUACCGAUGGCGAAGGCAGCCCCCUGGGAUAACACUGACGCUCAUGCACGAAAGCGUGGGGGGAGCAAACAGGAUUAGAUACCCUGGUAGUCCACGCCCUAAACGAUGUCAACUAGUUGUUGGGGAUUCAUUUCCUUAGUAACGUAGCUAACGCGUGAAGUUGACCGCCUGGGGAGUACGGUCGCAAGAUUA